AUGGACACUGGGGCGCACGGGCACAGGGGCACAGGGAUACACAGGCACAGGGGCGCACGGGCACACAAGUACACCUGCACGCCCAGCACCCCACGCAGACACAGCCAGCGCCAGCUCCAGGAGCCCUGGCGCGGGGACCUGCUCUGGCCACCGGCUGCCACCACCUCUCCCUUGUCGGCGCUGCUGCUGCCGGGCAGGUUCACAUGUCACUUAGAAAGCAGGCACAGUGCCUGGGGGGCUGGGACCCUGGGCUCCUGGGACUCCAGCAGGUGUAGCGUUGUGAAAUUCAACCCAUUGAGGUUUUCCUGUCUUGGCCGGAUGGGAAUGGCACACACCUGACAACACAGAAGUGGUAGGGCCUCUAUUUUAGGGGGUCGGAGGGCUCCCUGGAAACCUCCUUUCCUGUCUGAUUCAUGCUCAUCCGCAGCGCAGGAGGCUUAGGAACCGUGAAUGACAUAUGAGCACAAGCAAGCAAGCCGGUCAAAGAGACUCAUACAUCACUGCUCCUGUGACAUCCAAUUAUUCACGCCAUUGAGGCUUGUGACUCUUCUCAGGGAACCAGGACGGCUACAGACAGAGGCAGCGUGUAGGGGUGCGAGUGGGGUUGAAAUAAAUGAAGAGGCUGACAGCAUCAAACCUCACCACCUUCAAGCUCUGAACCUGGGACUUGCCAUUGCAGGAACAUUCUGGAUCAGAUGGGUCUGCACACAAAGAGCGGGGCACUUGCUCGGAGGCUGUGGGUGAACCUUCCCCACUUUGUACUUCUUUAAGGAGGGGUGGGUGGGCAGAGUGGAAGGGGUGGGGGCUGAGGGGAAGAAGGGACAGCACUGACCUCCAAACAUCUGUCGUUUUCCUGCCGGGCCAGGACUCUUGGGAAUUCGCCUGACUCCCACUGAUGUCCGAGCUCCCCAUGGCUUCCUGUGUGUAAGCCGCACGGAGUUCUUGCCUCUGCACUUCUGCCAGAGUCAUUCUCAUUCCAUGACAAAUCCACAGCGAGGUGGGGAGGUGGGGAGGUACCAGCAGACGCACUUGCGCUCUGGGAGCUUGGCUGAGGUUUCCAGAGACAGGCAGAGAGGCCUCCUCACACUGCCUCUGCGUCCAAACCACUCUCACUUACUGUGGGAAGAUAAAUGGUGGGUGCUGUUCAGGCCUGGGGUGCCAGGGACAUCUCAACUGCCUGCAGACUCUCACUAUGACCAGAGGUGGGAGGGAUCUUGGAGGGGUGGCUGGUGGGCCCUGGGACGCGUCCGGUGCUUGCAUUCGGCCUGGAGGUAAGUGUGGGGGCAGGUUUAUACAUUGCGAAAAGUUACAAAAUCAGUCCUUCCCAAUUCUAUCCUGAACCUCUGCUCCCGUGUCUCAUCUUUGCAGUUAUGCCCUGUAGAGGGGCUGUAGCAAAAUCCCUUCUUAAAGCUGGGGAUGGAGGGAUACCUGUGCGAGGGCAAAUGAGGGGGAGCAGGUGAAGGGCAAAUAGGACCCUUCCAUUUCCAUCAUCUCUCACCCCAGCAGCCCAGGGUCCAGGCAAAGAAAAUCACCCUGAGCUUGGAACUGACCGGCUGCCUCCCCACUCCCCCAGCUGCCUGGAGAUCCCACUCAGCCUUGAGGGCCCAUUUCAAGGGUCACUGGCUCUGGGAAAGUUGACCUGACCUGCACUGAGGUGGAGGUGACCCAGCCCUCUUUCGUGGUGUUUCUCCCAGCAGCAAAACACACCUCCAGGCUCGCUGUCACUCAGAUUAGACAAUCCCUUUAUGUGUCCCUCUUGGACUCUGUUGGCUUCUUGUACUCCUUUGUGUCCCUGGCACUUAGCUCAGUGGGCACCCAGUGCCUGAUUUUUGUGUGAGGACCUUUGCAAACAAGGGUCAUGGGGGAAGGGGCACCCACUUAGAGCUUGAGAUCCCACAAAUGUCAUUCUCUGGUUACAUGACUCUGGGAGAGCCAGUGAACUUUUCAGAGCCUCACCUGUUAAGUGGAGAGAUGCCCAUCUGGGGAUAAUGAUGAAAGUGAAAUAGAAUAAUGUUAAGCACAACAAUAAAACACUACCAUUGAGUGCCAGCCUCAUGGCAGGCACUGUGACCAGUUGGAGAAAUCUAAUAUCAAAGAAGAGGCUGGCAUGGAUAGAGCUCAAGGAAUACACCUGCACCGGAGAGUCCCUGGCAGGUGCUUGGGACGGAGUACCAUGUUCAGUGUGUGCAACCUAAAGGCGUGGGGUCUGGAGGCCAAAGCUGACCCAGGAGACCCAUGAGAACUGACAGCGGAGAGGGGGUGGGGGGGGUAGGGGGAGGAAGCUCUAAGGACCACAGCAAGCCACUAAGAGAUGCCUCUUUGUCUCCUCCCAAUAGCUCAGGAAAGCACUUCCUUGGGAUUAAAGAAAGGACUGGAGACUUUUCCAUUUUAUAAUUAAAAGAGAUUAUAUGAUAUGUUUUUUUUAAUGUUUAUUUAUUUAUUUAUUUAUUUAUGAAAGUCACACAGAGAGAGAGAGAGAGAGGCAGAGACACAGGCAGAGGGAGAAGCAGGCUCCAUGCACCGGGAGCCCGACGUGGGAUUCGAUCCCGGGUCUCCAGGGUCGCGCCCUGGGCCAAAGGCAGGCGCCAAACCGCUGGGCCACCCAGGGAUCCCGAGAUUAUAUGAUAUUAAAGAAAUGCUUUCUGGAACCUCUAGAAAGGACUAGAGAUAGGUUAAUCUUGCAGCUAAAGGACAUUAAGAGAUAUUCCUGAAAGAGGCAACUGGAUGGUUCAGUUGGUUGAGCGUCAGACUCUUGGUUUUGGUUUUGGGUCGUGGUCUCAGGAUCAUGAUCUCAGUGUUGUGAGAUUAUGCCCCGCAUCAGCCUCUGUGCUCCGUGUGGAGCCUCUUGUCCCUCUCCUUCUGCUCCUCGUCUGUCUCUCAAGUAAGUAAAAGUAAGUAAAUAAAUAAAUAAAUCUUUAAAAAGAGAGAGAGAUUCCUGGGAAAUUUUGGCUUGAGGUUCUGAAACACGUAGCAAUGCCCUAAGCCUUUGCUGGUGGCAAAUUAAAAAACGUAUGUUAAGGGAUGCCUGGGUGGCUCAGUGGUUGGCUCUGGGGGUCAUCCCGGGAUCCGGGAUCCAGUCCGGCAUCCGGCUCCCUGUGAGGAUCCUGCUUCUCCCUCUGCCUAUGUCUUUGCCUCUCUCUGUGUCUCUCAUGAAUAAAUAAAUAAAAUCUUAAAAAACAAAACAUACGUUAAAAUAAAAUACUUUCUACAUCAGUCAAGCAUUGAUAGAGUCACAAGGAGAAUGAGAAAAGUAUUAAAAUAAAAUAUUUUAAAUAUAAUAUUUAAUAAUAAUACUAUUUAAUAAACUGAAAAACAUUACCUAGUUGGUGGUACUCAGGCUUUUCCUCUGGCCCUUAAAGAGAUGUCUAUGGGCCUCUAGCUUGGUUUAUGUUUGAAGAUGAUCCCUUGCAGCUGUACCCAGAGGAAGCUCAGGCUGCAAGGCACAGCGUUCCUGAAAGAGUUACCCACAGCCGUCUCUGAAGCAUGCUACCUUCGCAGCCUAGUCCUUCCCAGGGAAGAGGGGUAUCAAAUGAGGAGCCGUGCUCCUACAGAAGCUACGCCCGUGUUCCUGAUAGAUUUAUAGAUCUCAGAGAUUCAGUGCAUUUGCAAAAGCUCAGGAUGCUCUUAUUCCCAUCCUUGGGCUUGGAAGAGCCAGGCCUUUCCCAGUGGUCCUCAGGGUGAUGGGGUGGGGAAUGGGUCAGAGCCUCCUGGAGUGCUUGGUAGGAAAGUGCUUGCCUCUUCCCCACCCCAUUCUGAAUCUGGAGGGUGGAGGGGACUGGCCUUGGCCGAGGAGGGACUCACUCUCCAACUGCCCAAUGACUUCCCACCAUCCCCCCAAACCUGCU
This 3845-nucleotide long non-coding RNA is filed under the name Canis lupus familiaris (dog). RNAcentral describes it as "lncRNA (ENSCAFG00030010255.1)". The record is from RNAcentral. Lineage: Eukaryota; Metazoa; Chordata; Mammalia; Carnivora; Canidae.